RNAcentral lists this ribosomal RNA (492 nucleotides) under uncultured bacterium. RNAcentral's name for it is "partial 16S ribosomal RNA". It matches the Rfam family "Bacterial small subunit ribosomal RNA", at positions 29 to 507 of the family's 1533-position model. The record is from RNAcentral.
AGUGAACGCUGGCGGUAGGCCUAACACAUGCAAGUCGAAUGGCAGCACAGUAAGAGCUUGCUCUUACGGGUGGCGAGUGGCGGACGGGUGAGGAAUACAUCGGAAUCUACUUUUUCGUGGGGGAUAGCGUAGGGAAACUUACGCUAAUACCGCAUACGACCUACGGGUGAAAGCAGGGGAUCUUCGGACCUUGCGCGAUUGAAUGAGCCGAUGUCGGAUUAGCUAGUUGGCGGGGUAAAGGCCCACCAAGGCGACGAUCCGUAGCUGGUCUGAGAGGAUGAUCAGCCACACUGGAACUGGGACACGGUCCAGACUCCUACGGGAGGCAGCAGUGGGGAAUAUUGGACAAUGGGCGCAAGCCUGAUCCAGCCAUACCGCGUGGGUGAAGAAGGCCUUCGGGUUGUAAAGCCCUUUUGUUGGGAAAGAAAAGCAGCAGGUUAAUACCCCGCUGUUCUGACGGUACCCAAAGAAUAAGCACCGGCUAACUUCGUG